RNAcentral lists this long non-coding RNA (226 nucleotides) under Carica papaya (papaya). RNAcentral's name for it is "long non-coding RNA (CPAP_LNC005066)". Lineage: Eukaryota; Viridiplantae; Streptophyta; Magnoliopsida; Brassicales; Caricaceae. The record is from RNAcentral.
GUACUCUCAAAAUAUGUUUAAACUUACACUUGAAUGGUGAUGACAGAGAGGAUGAGGAAGGGGUCAAGGAGAUGAAGAGAAUAACAAAUAAGAUGUGAUUACUACUAAUGAUAAGUUGAACCAUGAGGAAGAUACACAACAACAUGAGCAUGAUGAGGAAGAGGCAUACAUUGUGGAAGAACAAAAGUCCAAGCCCAAGAAUUAUCCUACUAAGGCCUAAGACUAA